CUUGAGGAAAAAUGUUGAAAUUGGUAAUCAUAUAUCAAUAGUGGGGGGGAAAUUUUGAAGGUAAGCUUUCCCAACCCUGCUGCUUUCUCAGCAGUCUUUUUGCUCCUCUGUUUUGUAAACUGUGCGCAUGUCCCUUUAAAGAGAGAAUAGCCCCCAACAGGGUGUAAAUGUGGCAUGGCUUUUAUGGCUUAUGUAGAUUUGCAGUGCCCUUGUAAGCCAUUUUUUUUUACUCUAAAUGGUCAGGCAGUUUGAUCCAGGAUCUGUUCUGCUGGGCACUCUUGCUUUAAAAGACUCUCAGCGGUCUGUGUGUCCAUCUGACGUAUAAUCUUUGUAUUGUCCUACACUGUAUCAAAAGAUGUUUGGCAUCGCUCUUGAUGAUGUCCUGUGAAGAGCGUCAUUGUUGGUCGAAUCAGAGAUUUUGAGGCAUUCGGGACUAAAUGGAAAGAGAAGGUCGCUGGUGGUCUGACACAAAGAUUUGGACACACUGUGGUGAAAUGAAUGAUGAGUUUAUUAAAUGUAAUACAACUCUUGCCACAGGUCACUUGGGGUAAGAUUUAGCAAAUGUAAUUUUUCUUUUUCUUUUUUUUUUGUGGAAGCCUAAAAAUAUAGCUUCUCUGCUCAUUUCUCUGGGAGUUCUCUCUCUGUAUUAUUCAUUCCCUUGAUUCUCGCACACAUGCACGAUGGAUUUUAUACUGUGCAUUUCAUGUCUUUUCCCUUUAGUUCUGUGUUGAUUUCAAUACUUUGUAAUGUGAAGAGAGGGGGGUUUGUUCCUUUUGUGAUUUCCCAUGAAAACAGCACUAAUCUCCAGGUUGGAGUUUUUGAUACAUGGAGUUGUUUUAGCUGGCACAAGGUUACACUGUACUGUAUAUAGGCUUAUCUGUUUGGCAGUGACAUGACACGAUAACAGUUCAAUUUAUGAAAGUUUUCCUGAAGGAGCUGCUGAAACGUCGCUCUCCUGUGUGACUCUGUGACAAUGUACAGUACGACUGAGUGUAGCUUCCGGUGUACAUACAGUAGAUACUUCAAUCAAACCUUGAAAAUGUAACUUUGCCUGCAUAACUUAUUUUACUGUCUUGCAACAAAGAGAAACCAAAAAAGAAACAAGAGACAACUGAUAUUGAAUGUAUCAUGACUGUUGCUCAAACCUAUUUAAGAGAAAAAGCACAUGGCAAAUUUCAAAAGUUCCUUCUUUUUGUGUUUGAACCUGUUACAUAAAAACCCACAGUGCAGUCACGCAAAUAUUUACAUUGGGAUUCAGCAGAAAAGGCGGUCUACAGAAGUUUCAUGCGCACACUUCGUUCUGAUUCCAAAUGUUGUCACCUGUUUAUGAGUCAGAUAUGACUUUGUACUUCAUAACCUGAACAUAUAAGAUGGAAUAGCUUCAUCACAGCUGUUAUGUUGAACCUGACCUUCCGCGUUAGGCAACCCUCCACGUCAAUAUUUGGAAUAAACUGUUUAUUUGUGUAUAUAUAGGGAUAUUAAUUCAUGAGGUGCAUACAAACAGCAUAUUCCAAAAAAGAGGCAUUGACUGACAUAUGGGCUUUUACUAUUACCCACAAUGCUGUUAAAUCUGGUAUUAGAAUCACAACACCGCCUAAAUUUUCAUGUAACGUGCUUUUUUGAUGAGUUUUAGCUUCCUUAUGUUUUUUAUGUUCGCUUCAGUGAUCAUUUAAGUUACGCAUUGUGAUUAAACAGUCUCUUCAACAAACAGCAUUGCCUGAGAAACAUGCUAUUCAACAUUUAUAACUUUAGCUAGCAGAUGCUAACAGAUAACAUUCCAAGCAUAAUGCAUACUUUUAAAGGUUAAGAAGCACUUUUCAUUACUGAUACUCUGAUUUCCGACGCUCACGAACGCAACUUCGUUGUCCGACUGCACCUGAAUGCACCAAUGACGUUAAUUAGAGCUUUUGAUUGUAUUUAGUUAGGAUUUGAAGAAGCUUUUAAGACUUUCCCUGAUGCCAGAGGAGAAGACAGCAGCUUUGUACCUUUGCGGUAAGAAGACUGGCCGUUUCUCAGUACGUAACUGUCCGUACUUGCCUUCUCACGUACUGGCGAAACGUCAUCAUCCAGACUGCAUAGGACCAGACCAGUGAGCAUAAAUAUGAAUCUGUAGAAUGGACCAUAGAUAUGAAUCAGUAGAUGGGACACACCCUUUUGAGUUGCGUGCUAUGGCGAGGCUAAGCUAGUGGGGGCAAAGUUUCAGUGCAUUCUGUUGAUGUAGACGGUGUGAAACCAGAAACAAGUAUGCCGCUUCACUGUGCUGCACAUAAUUGCACACUAUGCCAUAAGAUUGAGACAAGAAAACGCGGAAUGACUUUUCAUAGAGCAAGAAUAGUUUUUGGCUCUUUUUUCAUUAUUAAAUCUUGUUGAGAGCUUCCAGUCUAUGAGAGCUAACUAGUUAGCCACUAGCAAAACACUUAACGCGAGCUAGCAGCUUGACAACUAUGAAGGUAUUUCAGGUGCAAAAUGUUUGAGCACCUGUAACAUCGAAUUUUUAAUUGUGUACAUUGAAUUUGUAUGUGUAUCAGCAAAUCUGAUUUCCCAAACUCUACGAGUUGUGUACUUGUAAAAUAAUUUCUUGUAUGUGUCGAUUUUUUCUUCCCACAAAUACAACACAAAAAUACACAUUCACAAAAUCGUAAUUCCAGGUGCAUAAAUCCUUCUCUACAAGUCACAUAUUUCAACACUGACACGCUCACAUUUUGCACCUAUUGUUGCAGCACACUAAGUGAAAAACAUACUUGUGCACCUGUAUUGUACGAAGUGAAGUUGAGGUGAGAAUUUGAAUAUGUGCAAAUCUGAAUGUGAACUUGUGCAAUAAGUAUGUGAAAUAAUAUACCACGAAAAUAGCUGUGUCCUCUAACACACGAUCACAAAUUGCUACUUACAACCACUCGAAUCCUGCCCAUGAGUCACACAUUCUCUGUUUUCUACAGGUGCAAAUCAGAAAUCGUACUUUCGGUCCCGCUGAGAUAUUUGGUGCAAAACUACAAAACGAUCUGAUCUAUGUACACACGUGGACAAAAUUGUUGGUACCCCUCAGUUAAAGAAGGAAAAACCCACAAUUCUCACUGAAAUCACUUGAAACUCACAAAAGUAACAAUAAAUAAAAAUUUAUUGAAAAUUAAAUAAUCAAAAACAGCCAUUACUUUUGAAUUGUUGAUUAACAUAAUUAUUUUAAAAAAACAAACUAAUGAAACAGGCCUGGACAAAAAUGAUGGUACCUCUAUAAAAGAUUGAAAACUAUUUGACCAGAGUGACAUGAUUAACUCAGGUGUGUCAUUUAAUUGACAUCACAGGUGUUUCCAAACUCAUAAUCAGUCAGUCUGCCUAUUUAAAGGGAGACAAGUAGUCACCCUGCUGUUUGGUGAAAAGGUGUGUACCACACUGAACAUGGACAACAGAAAGCGAAGGAGAGAAUUGUCCCAGGACAUCCGAAAAAAAAUUAUAGACAAACAUCUUAAAGGUAAAGGCUAUAAGACCAUCUCUAAACAGCUUGAAGUUCCUGUGACAACAGUGGCUCAUAUUAUUCAGAAGUUCAAGACCCACGGGACAGUAGCCAACCUCCCUGGACGUGGCCGCAAGAGGAAAAUUGAUGACAAAUUGAAGAGACGGAUCGUUCGAAUUGUAUCCAAAGAGCCCAGAGCAACCUCCAAAGAAAUUAAAGGUGAACUCCAAGGCCAAGGUACAUCAGUGUCAGAUCGCACCAUUCGUCGUUGUUUGAGCCAAAGUGGACUUCAUGGGAGACCACCAAGGAGGACACCACUGCUGAAAAAAACUCAUAAAAAAGCAAGACUGGAAUUUGCAAAAAUGCAUGUUGACAAGCCACAAAGCUUCUGGAGAAUGUCCUUUGGACAGAUGAGACCAAACUGGAGCUUUUUGUAAGGCACAUCAACUCUAUGUUCAUAGACUCAAAAACCAAGCAUACGAAGAAAAGAACACUGUCCCUACGGUGAAACAUGGAGAAGGCUCAGUAAUGUUUUGGGGCUGCUUUGCUGCAUCUGGCACAGGGUGUCUUGAAAGUGUGCAAGGUACGAUGAAAUCUGAAGACUAUCAAGGCAUUCUGGAGAGAAAUGUGCUGCCUAGUGUCAGAAAGCUUGGUCUCAGUCGCAGGUCAUGGGUCUUCCAACAGGACAACGAUCCAAAACACACAGCCAAAAACAGCCAAGAAUGGCUGAGAGAAAAGCGUUGGACUAUUCUAAAGUGGCCUUCUAUGAGCCCAGAUCUGAAUCCCA
Long non-coding RNA from Acanthochromis polyacanthus (spiny chromis), 4235 nucleotides. RefSeq lists it as uncharacterized. The record is from RefSeq and is a predicted model, not a curated record. The transcript is spliced from 2 exons. Lineage: Eukaryota; Metazoa; Chordata; Actinopteri; Pomacentridae.